Molecule: ribosomal RNA, 497 nt
Filed under: uncultured bacterium
Lineage: Bacteria
Description: partial 16S ribosomal RNA
Rfam family: Bacterial small subunit ribosomal RNA
Source: RNAcentral
GAUGAACGCUGGCGGCGUGCCUAAUACAUGCAAGUCGAGCGAACAGACGAGGAACUUGCUCCUCUGACGUUAGCGGCGGACGGGUGAGUAACACGUGGAUAACCUACCUAUAAGACUGGGAUAACUUCGGGAAACCGGAGCUAAUACCGGAUAAUAUAUUGAACCGCAUGGUUCAAUAGUGAAAGACGGUUUUGCUGUCACUUAUAGAUGGAUCCGCGCCGCAUUAGCUAGUUGGUAAGGUAACGGCUUACCAAGGCAACGAUGCGUAGCCGACCUGAGAGGGUGAUCGGCCACACUGGAACUGAGACACGGUCCAGACUCCUACGGGAGGCAGCAGUAGGGAAUCUUCCGCAAAGGGCGAAAGCCUGACGGAGCAACGCCGCGUGAGUGAUGAAGGUCUUCGGAUCGUAAAACUCUGUUAUUAGGGAAGAACAAAUGUGUAAGUAACUAUGCACGUCUUGACGGUACCUAAUCAGAAAGCCACGGCUAACUACGUG